UUUGAGAGGAAAAUAUUACUUCACUUUGGAAAGGUGAGAUGUAAUUAUCUGUUGUUUUUAGUUAUUAUAUGUAGUGCUUUGGUGUUUGAACAUCAACUUAAUUUUAUAAAUUUUUGAAUAAUUUGGACGUCACUGGCUCAAGCUGUAGAGACAUCUGCCUCUUGUAGAAAUGCAAGUUUUAUACUUGGAACUGCUACACUUGAGUUGAGGAUCUUCAUAAAUAGCCUCCUAUCUCCCACAAGGUAGGGGUAGUGUUUUAGAGGAGAAAAUUGCUUCUCUCUGAGAAGGCUACUCCUCAACAAGUAAAGCUUGUAGAGUCUUCAACAAAAGGACUCUGUGCAUGGAAGAAAGUGUAUAUGCAGUCUUUGAUGAAUCAGUAAGCUAAAGAUUCCGCUGAAGGUGAAGAUUCUGACAUGAAAGAAUUCAUUCUCAUUCAAAGGGAUGGUACAACUAAAAUUGAAGUUCAAGAAUAAGAUGAUACAAUUGUACAUGACGAAGGUGACGAUGAAUCAGGUCCUCGAUUGCUGAAUCCAAAUUUAGGAGAGGAACAUCAAGAAGAACCUACUUAAAAUCCUUAAGGAUCUAGUCCCAGCAGACCUCAGUUAAGAAGAAUAAAUUGGAAGCAUAAAUCUUCUCACCCCCUUGAAAAUCUGACCUCUCUCUUUGAAUUUAGAAGGCAAACAAGAGCUCAAGCUAGGAAUUUUAUGGCUUUCUCAACCUUUUUAUCAUAGGUUCAGCCCAAGAAUGUAAAGGAAGUUGAUCUGAGGUGAUUCUAUACACUUUUGUAUCAUUAUUCUAGCUUAUUUUGCCUUACUUUGAGAGCAAUUCGUGUGCUUAACAUGUUCAUAUUGAUAUAAAUAAGCAUUUAAGUGUCCAAGUGUGCA
Long non-coding RNA from Capsicum annuum, 884 nucleotides. RefSeq lists it as uncharacterized. The record is from RefSeq and is a predicted model, not a curated record. NCBI's taxonomy places the organism in Eukaryota, Viridiplantae, Streptophyta, Magnoliopsida, Solanales, Solanaceae. The transcript is spliced from 3 exons.